GAUAGUUUUCAAGUUUAUUGGCUGAAUUAAGAAAUUUGGGUGCCCUGCAGUUAACUUGUUUCUUUUUUAGCAUUUAUCAGUUGUUAAUUAUUGUCUAUGUUCUUAUUUUAGCAAUUCUAUUGAAAAGUAUUCCAAAGUGCAUAUUUUUUUGAACUACACUGUAAGUGUAUCUGUUCAAGCAGGUCCUGUUUUUUUUUAAUACUUUGAUAUCUGAUUUCUUGACUGUCAUUGGAAUAUGACCCGAUCAUUUUAUAAACACAGGUUUUGCUUGUUGUCAGCUCAAUAAAUUCUUAUAUGAAUCAGAUAAGAUAUUAACUGAUUGAUGAAACUGUCCUGUAUGAACCACAAUGAAAGAAAUAAAAAUUUCCUUGGAGAUGAAAUAUACUUUGUUUUAAAUUAAGGUUUCUUUUAUAAUGCAUUAUUUCUCUUUUUUUUUUUUUGCCAAAAAUUUAAUUUAUUCAGUCAGAAAUCAAGGUAACAAAGAAAUUCCGUUAAAGUCAAAACUUACUUAUUUAUUUGAUGUAAUUCCUAGGAUACAUGUCAUUAUUGUUUCAUGCUCACUGAGAACUUGUAUGGAUAUCUCCCUUUUUAAAGUUGGUGGAAAGCAGAUGCACAGGCUGAAUUUGCCUUUUUAAUUGCAAAGAUAAUUUAUAACAAUGAAAUUAAAGGAUUGGUUUUCAUGGUUAAAUUUAUAGUUUACCUCUUAGGUCCUAGAUAUCUUAGUAUGCUAUGUCUUAUGUUGCUCAAAUUCAUCUGUUGCAUGAACCAUUCAUAUAUGUAUCUUUCCAUAUAUCUCAUUAUCUAUUUUCUUAAAGGUGUGGUUUCUUUGAUGAUUCCAUCAAUAUCAUUGUUUAUUUAGUUGUUAAUCCAACACUUUGUUCAUGUAAAAUAAAUUGAAUGCUUCUAGGUUUGGGUAAAGUGGGGAGAGAGACGCCAGUUCAUUGCCCAGAACAAGCUAGGAAUGUCACAAUACACAUAUUUGAUAACAAUUUGAUCACCGGUGAAAACUCAUAUAGCAAACUCUCUCUUGUUGAUUUGAGGAGCUGUUUGAUUUAGCCAAUUCAGAUUCAACUGCCACUUCUCAGUACCAAUUUAGCAUUACGGUUUGUUAGCUCUAUAAUGAACAGGCUAGAGAUCUUGUCUUGAUUUUGCAAUGACUCCUUCUCAUUGAGGUGCAAGAUUUACACCUUAUUAUUCCUGGCUAUUUCUUUUGAGUGGAGCAGUGAUACACGCCCGCUUUCUUAUCAGCAGGAUCUGCCACAGACUUUUCCUGGCCAUCCAUGGUUGGACACUCUCGAGGGACAUGCUGCUCUUAGACGUGUUCUAAUGUUGGAUAUUGUCAGGUGGAUUUGAUCUGCUCUUCCUUCUUAUUCUGAAUUAUUUUCCCCUCUCUUAAGUUCUUGUUGGAUGAUCUAGCCUCCUUGUUUUCAGGAUGCUUGUAUUGUAGAUCAGAAUUGUAAAAUUUAAUACCUUAAUAACUUAACUGUUACUGUUAUAAUGUGAAUAAAUGUCAACUUAGGACAUUGUGCUAUUUCAUUGCCCUAGAUUUACAUUAUUAAAGAGGCAUUUGCACCUGUUCAGUUUAACUUUUGUUAGCUCGACAUUUUAUUUUAAUAGUGUAAUAGAGAGGAAUUGGUUGUAUAAUAAAGUGGUGGUUUGUAAUUUUGAAGUGUAAAGGUUUUGGAAAAUCUUUACUCACUCUUGAUCUCAACAUCUGAGGGCAACAAGCAAAAAUACGGAUGUAUUUAGGAAAUAU
This is a long non-coding RNA of Arachis stenosperma, 1756 nucleotides long. RefSeq lists it as uncharacterized. The record is from RefSeq and is a predicted model, not a curated record. Lineage: Eukaryota; Viridiplantae; Streptophyta; Magnoliopsida; Fabales; Fabaceae. The transcript has 5 exons.